CCCCUAGAUGUUCUGGGCCGCACGCGCGCUACACUGAACAGUUAAACAAGUCUUAACCUUGGCCGAUAGGUCUGGGUAAUCUUUGAACGCUGUUCGUGAUUGGGAUAGACCUUUGCAAUUAUGGGUCUUCAACGAGGAAUUCCUAGUAAACGCAAGUCAUCAGCUUGCAUUGAUUACGUCCCUGCCCUUUGUACACACCGCCCGUCGCACCUACCGAUUGAAUGGUCCGGUGAAAUCUCGGGACGGCGGCUUGGUCGCUUGCGUCCGACUGCUGAAACUUGAUUAAACCAUNUNAUUUAGNGGAAGGUGAANUCGUANCA
This 320-nucleotide ribosomal RNA is filed under the name uncultured eukaryote. Its description in RNAcentral is "partial 18S ribosomal RNA". It matches the Rfam family "Eukaryotic small subunit ribosomal RNA", at positions 1470 to 1796 of the family's 1831-position model. The record is from RNAcentral.